RNAcentral lists this long non-coding RNA (286 nucleotides) under Manihot esculenta (cassava). Its description in RNAcentral is "long non-coding RNA (MESC_LNC011310)". Lineage: Eukaryota; Viridiplantae; Streptophyta; Magnoliopsida; Malpighiales; Euphorbiaceae. The record is from RNAcentral.
UUGAUGCCUAUGGCCCAAGGACGUUCCUUGGCAAUUUGUUAAUUAGUAAUUGAUUAGAGGACGUUCCCUAAUUAAUUUAAUCAUAAGGAGAGACAUGGUGGUGAGAAGUGUCUUCCACCCCCAUAACUAAUCUAUUGAACCAAUCAAGAUAAUCUAAGUUUCAAUGAUCAAUCCAAACAACCAAAGUGGAUCCAUAUCUUCAACUAGACUUUUCUCAUAUUGAUUUCCUCUUUUAUUUUAAUUAUUUGCUUCCUAUUAUUAUUCUCAUUAUUAGUUACUACAAUCA